This 501-nucleotide ribosomal RNA is filed under the name Rotylenchus buxophilus. Its description in RNAcentral is "partial large subunit ribosomal RNA". It matches the Rfam family "Eukaryotic large subunit ribosomal RNA", at positions 255 to 646 of the family's 3401-position model. Lineage: Eukaryota; Metazoa; Nematoda; Chromadorea; Rhabditida; Hoplolaimidae. The record is from RNAcentral.
UGUCUUGGAUUCGGGUUGUUUGGGAUCGCAGCCCAAAGCAGGUGGUAAACUUCAUCUAGGACUGAAUAAGACUACGAGUCCGAUAGCGAACAAGUACCGUGAGGGAAAGUUGCAAAGCACUUUGAAGAGAGAGUUAAAGAGGACGUGAAACCGAUGAGGUGGAAACGGACAGAGCUGGCGUAUCUGGCCUGUAUUCAGCCGUGGGCUCGCUGGCGUCAGGGAUGCCGCUCUCCAGAUUGGGACGGUGGCCUGUCUGCCGGUGGGUUUGUGGUGCAUUUGCAGGUGGAGUGCGCCGAGGCGCUCGGGUGCAGCGGCAUGAGCCCAGUUUUGAGGCCAGCCUCGCAAGAGGUCUGGUACCCGGACUGUUGGGGAGUGCUGUUUGCCCUGGGUGUACAAAAAGGGUAAUGGUCUCGGGCCCGGGUGGGCGCCGAGCUGGCAGUCGGAGGCGGUCGCAUGCGACACGUGCCAGCGGUCAGUUCGGUCCUGCUCGAGCUCACAUCU